This 433-nucleotide ribosomal RNA is filed under the name uncultured bacterium. RNAcentral describes it as "partial 16S ribosomal RNA". It matches the Rfam family "Bacterial small subunit ribosomal RNA", at positions 29 to 507 of the family's 1533-position model. The record is from RNAcentral.
AACGAACGCUGGCGGCAUGCCUAACACAUGCAAGUCGAACGAGACCUUCGGGUCUAGUGGCGCACGGGUGCGUAACGCGUGGGAACCUGCCCUUAGGUUCGGAAUAACUCCCCGAAAGGGGUGCUAAUACCGGAUAAUGUCUUCGGACCAAAGAUUUAUCGCCUUUGGAUGGGCCCGCGUUGGAUUAGCUAGUUGGCAGGGUAAAAGCCUACCAAGGCGACGAUACAUAGCUGGUCUGAGAGGAAGAUCAGCCACACUGGGACUGAGACACGGCCCAGACUCCUACGGGAGGCAGCAGUGGGGAAUACUGGACAAUGGGCGAAAGCCUGAUCCAGCAAUGCCGCGUGAGUGAUGAAGGCCGGAGGGUUGUAAAGCUCUUUUACCCGGGAUGAUAAUGACAGUACCGGGAGAAUAAGCUCCGGCUAACUCCGUG